UAGGGAAUAUUAGAAAUGGACGAAAGUCUGAUCUAGCAACACCGCGUGUGCGAAGAAGGCCUUCGGGUCGUAAAGCACUUUUUGGAAGGAAUAGGAAGGAAUGUACUUCCAGAAUAAGUCUCGGCUAACUACGUGCCAGCAGCCGCGGUAACACGUAGGAGGCGAACGUUAUCCGGAUUUACUGGGCGUAAAGCGCGUGUAGGUGGUACUGUAAGUAGGGCGUGAAAGCUCCUGGCUCAACUGGGAGAGGCCGUUCUAAACUACAGAACUAGAGGAUGGUAGAGGGAGGUGGAAUUCCAGGUGUAGCGGUGGAAUGCGCAGAUAUCUGGAGGAACACCGGUGGCGAAGGCGGCCUCCUGGAUCAUUCCUGACACUCAGACGCGAAAGCUAGGGUAGCAAACG
This 402-nucleotide ribosomal RNA is filed under the name uncultured bacterium. RNAcentral describes it as "bacterial SSU rRNA". It matches the Rfam family "Bacterial small subunit ribosomal RNA", at positions 355 to 774 of the family's 1533-position model. The record is from RNAcentral.